CCUACGGGUGGCAGCAGUAGGGAAUCUUCCGCAAUGGGCGAAAGCCUGACGGAGCAACGCCGCGUGAGUGAUGAAGGUCUUCGGAUCGUAAAACUCUGUUAUUAGGGAAGAACAAAUGUGUAAGUAACUAUGCACGUCUUGACGGUACCUAAUCAGAAAGCCACGGCUAACUACGUGCCAGCAGCCGCGGUAAUACGUAGGUGGCAAGCGUUAUCCGGAAUUAUUGGGCGUAAAGCGCGCGUAGGCGGUUUUUUAAGUCUGAUGUGAAAGCCCACGGCUCAACCGUGGAGGGUCAUUGGAAACUGGAAAACUUGAGUGCAGAAGAGGAAAGUGGAAUUCCAUGUGUAGCGGUGAAAUGCGCAGAGAUAUGGAGGAACACCAGUGGCGAAGGCGACUUUCUGGUCUGUAACUGACGCUGAUGUGCGAAAGCGUGGGGAUCAAACAGGAUUAGAUACCCCUGUAGUC
This 465-nucleotide ribosomal RNA is filed under the name uncultured Staphylococcus sp. RNAcentral's name for it is "bacterial SSU rRNA". It matches the Rfam family "Bacterial small subunit ribosomal RNA", at positions 338 to 795 of the family's 1533-position model. Lineage: Bacteria; Bacillati; Bacillota; Bacilli; Caryophanales; Staphylococcaceae. The record is from RNAcentral.